RNAcentral lists this ribosomal RNA (653 nucleotides) under Russula aeruginea. RNAcentral's name for it is "eukaryotic LSU rRNA". The stretch from base 187 to 340 matches the Rfam family "5.8S ribosomal RNA". The record is from RNAcentral. Lineage: Eukaryota; Fungi; Basidiomycota; Agaricomycetes; Russulales; Russulaceae.
GUACGGAGGUGCAGGGCUGUCGCUGACCCUCAAGGUCGUGCACGCCCAAGCACGCUCUCACACAAUCCAUCUCACCCCUUUGUGCAUCACCGCGUGGGUCCCCCCCUUUGUGGGAGGGCUUGCGUUUUCACAUAAAACUCGAUACAGUGUAGAAUGUUCUUUUUUGCGGUCACACGCAAUCAAUACAACUUUCAACAACGGAUCUCUUGGCUCUCGCAUCGAUGAAGAACGCAGCGAAAUGCGAUACGUAAUGUGAAUUGCAGAAUUCAGUGAAUCAUCGAAUCUUUGAACGCACCUUGCGCCCCUUGGCAUUCCGAGGGGCACACCCGUUUGAGUGUCGUGAAAUUCUCAAAAACCCUUUCCUUUUGAUCGGAUUUUUGGACUUGGAGGUUCAAUGCUCGCCUUCAACUUUUGAAAGCGAGCUCCUCUCAAAUACAUUAGUGGGGUCCGCUUUGCUGGUCCUUGACGUGAUAAGAUGUUUCUACGUUUUGGAUUUGGCACUGUCCCUUUGGAUCCUGCUCCCAACUCGUCCGUCUCACGGACAACGAUGGUGCUCCGGUCACCGCCAUUUACAUCGGCGGGAGGCUGGACCCACAAAAACGAACCUUGACCUCAAAUCGGGUGAGACUACCCGCUGAACUUAAGCAUAUCAA